CAGCCGCCGCGGGAAUACGGAGGGGGCUAGCGUUGUUCGGAAUUACUGGGCGUAAAGCGCACGUAGGCGGCUUUGUAAGUUAGAGGUGAAAGCCCGGAGCUCAACUCCGGAAUUGCCUUUAAGACUGCAGAGCUAGCAGGUGAGAGAGGUGAGUGGAAUUCCGAGUGUAGAGGUGAAAUUCGUAGAUAUUCGGAAGAACACCAGUGGCGAAGGCGGCUCACUGGCUCAUACUGGACGCUGAGGUGCGAAAGCGUGGGGAGCAAACAGGAUUAGAUACCCCCGUAGUCCCUGUCUCUUAUAA
RNAcentral lists this ribosomal RNA (301 nucleotides) under uncultured bacterium. RNAcentral describes it as "partial 16S ribosomal RNA". It matches the Rfam family "Bacterial small subunit ribosomal RNA", at positions 509 to 809 of the family's 1533-position model. The record is from RNAcentral.